This 592-nucleotide small RNA is filed under the name Pongo abelii (Sumatran orangutan). RNAcentral's name for it is "retained intron". Lineage: Eukaryota; Metazoa; Chordata; Mammalia; Primates; Hominidae. The record is from RNAcentral.
GACUUUGCGGCUGGAGCGCGGCGCGGUGAAGAACCCGCGCGGAGGGCGCCCGGCGUAGGCGGCGGCGGGUGUGGGCCGAGCCGGUAUUUAUAGCUCCGUGACAGCAGCCGCGGCAGCGACGCCGCCGGCCCGUCUCGCUGCGCUUCCCAGCGAGGCCGCCGGCGCGCCGAGGGCUGUGCUCGACCGCGAAUCCCGUGUUGCAGUCGCCCCGCGCCCCGCGCGACCCUUCGGGUAAACUACGAACUGGGACUUUUGAAGAAUGGGUAAAGACUUUCGUUACUAUUUCCAGCAUCCCUGGUCUCGCAUGAUUGUGGCUUACUUGGUGAUCUUCUUUAACUUCUUAAUAUUUGCGGAAGACCCAGUUUCUCAUAGCCAAACAGAAGCCAAUGUUAUUGUUGUUGGAAACUGUUUUUCAUUUGUUACAAAUAAAUACCCUAGAGGAAUUGGCUGGAGGAUUUUGAAGGUGCUUCUAUGGCUACUUGCCAUUCUCACAGGACUAAUAGCUGGCAAAUUUCUGUUCCAUCAGCGUUUGUUUGGUAAGUACCAUGACCCAUGAAAUGUAAUAUUGCUAAUUAUUUAAUUUCUAUUCUCC